AGAAGGCUAUGUUGGCCGGGCGACGGUUGUCCCGGUUUAAGCGUGUAGGUGUGUGUUCCAGGUAAAUCCGGUUCACUUUAACACUGAGGCGUGACGACGAGGCACUACGGUGCUGAAGCAACAAAUGCCCUGCUUCCAGGAAAAGCCUCUAAGCAUCAGGUAACAUCAAAUCGUACCCCAAACCGACACAGGUGGUCAGGUAGAGAAUACCAAGGCGCUUGAGAGAACUCGGGUGAAGGAACUAGGCAAAAUGGUGCCGUAACUUCGGGAGAAGGCACGCUGACACGUAGGUGAAGUGAUUUACUCAUGGAGCUGAAGUCAGUCGAAGAUACCAGCUGGCUGCAACUGUUUAUUAAAAACACAGCACUGUGCAAACACGAAAGUGGACGUAUACGGUGUGACGCCUGCCCGGUGCCGGAAGGUUAAUUGAUGGGGUCAGCGCAAGCGAAGCUCCUGAUCGAAGCCCCGGUAAACGGCGGCCGUAACUAUAACGGUCCUAAGGUAGCGAAAUUCCUUGUCGGGUAAGUUCCGACCUGCACGAAUGGCGUAAUGAUGGCCAGGCUGUCUCCACCCGAGACUCAGUGAAAUUGAACUCGCUGUGAAGAUGCAGUGUACCCGCGGCAAGACGGAAAGACCCCGUGAACCUUUACUAUAGCUUGACACUGAACAUUGAGCCUUGAUGUGUAGGAUAGGUGGGAGGCUUUGAAGCGUGGACGCCAGUCUGCGUGGAGCCGACCUUGAAAUACCACCCUUUAAUGUUUGAUGUUCUAACGUGGACCCGUAAUCCGGGUUGCGGACAGUGUCUGGUGGGUAGUUUGACUGGGGCGGUCUCCUCCUAAAGAGUAACGGAGGAGCACGAAGGUUGGCUAAUCCUGGUCGGACAUCAGGAGGUUAGUGCAAUGGCAUAAGCCAGCUUGACUGCGAGCGUGACGGCGCGAGCAGGUGCGAAAGCAGGUCAUAGUGAUCCGGUGGUUCUGAAUGGAAGGGCCAUCGCUCAACGGAUAAAAGGUACUCCGGGGAUAACAGGCUGAUACCGCCCAAGAGUUCAUAUCGACGGCGGUGUUUGGCACCUCGAUGUCGGCUCAUCACAUCCUGGGGCUGAAGUAGGUCCCAAGGGUAUGGCUGUUCGCCAUUUAAAGUGGUACGCGAGCUGGGUUUAGAACGUCGUGAGACAGUUCGGUCCCUAUCUGCCGUGGGCGCUGGAGAACUGAGGGGGGCUGCUCCUAGUACGAGAGGACCGGAGUGGACGCAUCACUGGUGUUCGGGUUGUCAUGCCAAUGGCACUGCCCGGUAGCUAAAUGCGGAAGAGAUAAGUGCUGAAAGCAUCUAAGCACGAAACUUGCCCCGAGAUGAGUUCUCCCUGAGACUUAGAGUCUCCUGAAGGAACGUUGAAGACGACGACGUUGAUAGGCCGGGUGUGUAAGCGCAGCGAUGCGUUGAGCUAACCGGUACUAAUGAACCGUGAGGCUUAACCUU
This 1476-nucleotide ribosomal RNA is filed under the name Salmonella enterica. RNAcentral's name for it is "partial 23S ribosomal RNA". It matches the Rfam family "Bacterial large subunit ribosomal RNA", at positions 1476 to 2925 of the family's 2925-position model. Lineage: Bacteria; Pseudomonadati; Pseudomonadota; Gammaproteobacteria; Enterobacterales; Enterobacteriaceae. The record is from RNAcentral.